UGGUGGGUUGCCUUGUCAGGUUGAUUCCGGUAACGAACGAGACCUCAGCCUGCUAAAUAGUUAGCGGUACUCUGGUACUGACCUAACUUCUUAGAGGGACUAUUGGCGUUUAGCCAAUGGAAGUGUGAGGCAAUAACA
RNAcentral lists this ribosomal RNA (138 nucleotides) under uncultured eukaryote. RNAcentral's name for it is "partial 18S ribosomal RNA". It matches the Rfam family "Eukaryotic small subunit ribosomal RNA", at positions 1299 to 1458 of the family's 1831-position model. The record is from RNAcentral.